This is a non-coding RNA of Caretta caretta (loggerhead turtle), 454 nucleotides long. Lineage: Eukaryota; Metazoa; Chordata; Testudines; Cheloniidae. The record is from RefSeq and is a predicted model, not a curated record.
UAAGGUAAGCAUGCUUCUUACUUUUACAAGGAUUGGACGCCUUUAUGCGAUAGAUGCUGAUUAAUUAGCAUUGAUUAGGUCAGAUUCAACUGUGGUAAAUACCUUUUCACAUCAUUUCUGAAUUAACCAAUUCUAAUAUCAUGAACAGAAUUCGGACUCUUUCAGAGGAAUAGCUACCCAGGAGCAUUUUGCAUCAUACAUGCAGCAUCUCCGUAAAUAACUCCAUCUGAAACAACUGCAAUAGUUAGACACAAAAUGGUUUCUGACAUUGUACCAAAGUCCGAAAAAGAAAGGCCCUUCCACUGCACAGAAAAGAGAGUGGCAGAACAAUUCAUUUGUUGUUUCAAUCCACUCUACAACACAGCUCAUUUGAUAUGGAUUUGUAUGUUAUCUAAAACAUCUUUCAUUAAAGUACACAGUGAUGCUCUUUAUGGGAAAUACCAGAUACAAUGAA